This 520-nucleotide long non-coding RNA is filed under the name Brassica rapa (field mustard). RNAcentral's name for it is "long non-coding RNA (BRAP_LNC001855)". Lineage: Eukaryota; Viridiplantae; Streptophyta; Magnoliopsida; Brassicales; Brassicaceae. The record is from RNAcentral.
GAGGUGGAGGGGCAGGUGGACAAGGGGGUGGUGGAGGUGGUGGAAAAGGAGGCGGUGGAGGAGGAGGUUCUGGCGCCGGUGGAGCUCACGGUGGUGGUUACGGUGCCGGAGGUGGAGCUGGAGAGGGAUACGGUGGUGGCAGUGGAGCUGGGGGACAUGGUGGUGGAGGAGGAGGAGGUGGUGGUUCAGGAGGUGGGGGAGGUUAUGCUGCAGCUGGAUCUGGACAUGGUGGCGGUGCUGGUAGCGGAGAAGGCGGUGGUGGAUAUUGACCGUGCAUGAUAUCAUAUCUAUGUGGAGCAUAAGGGCCACUGAGUAAAGUCUCAUAAUACUCGUAUAAGAGAUUAUAUAUAUAUGGUAACAAAUACACUAAUCAUCUGUAAAAUAAGCCGGAAAAGGGGUUGUUGUUGAUGUUUCUAAUUGUACCAAUGUUAUAUACUACAUUACUACUUCGUGUGUAUCAAAUUUUUAUAUAUGGAGAUGAAGAUAAUAUCUUCAAGAUAUCAUAUUUGUUCCUAUUUUC